GAUGAACGCUGGCGGCGUGCCUAAUACAUGCAAGUCGAGCGAACGGACGAGAAGCUUGCUUCUCUGAUGUUAGCGGCGGACGGGUGAGUAACACGUGGAUAACCUACCUAUAAGACUGGGAUAACUUCGGGAAACCGGAGCUAAUACCGGAUGAUAUUUUGAACCGCAUGGUUCAAAAGUGAAAGACGGUCUUGCUGUCACUUAUAGAUGGAUCCGCGCUGCAUUAGCUAGUUGGUAAGGUAACGGCUUACCAAGGCAACGAUGCAUAGCCGACCUGAGAGGGUGAUCGGCCACACUGGAACUGAGACACGGUCCAGACUCCUACGGGAGGCAGCAGUAGGGAAUCUUCCGCAAUGGGCGAAAGCCUGACGGAGCAGCGCCGCGUGAGUGAUGAAGGUCUUCGGAUCGUAAAACUCUGUUAUUAGGGAAGAACAUAUGUGUAAGCAACUGUGCACAUCUUGACGGUACCUAAUCAGAAAGCCACGGCUAACUACGUG
This 497-nucleotide ribosomal RNA is filed under the name uncultured bacterium. RNAcentral describes it as "partial 16S ribosomal RNA". It matches the Rfam family "Bacterial small subunit ribosomal RNA", at positions 28 to 507 of the family's 1533-position model. The record is from RNAcentral.